UCCGAGUUGACCCCGGCAGUCUCCCAUGAGUCCCCACCCCAGUGUAUAUUUCAACACCGUGUGCUGGCAACAUGGAACGAGGGUUGCGCUCGUUGCGGGACUUAACCCAACGUCUCACGACACGAGCUGACGACAGCCAUGCACCACCUGUACACGAGUAUCAAAGAGACCCACAUCUCUGCAGGCUUCCCGUGUAUGUCAAACCCAGGUAAGGUUCUUCGCGUUGCAUCGAAUUAAUCCGCAUGCUCCGCCGCUUGUGCGGGCCCCCGUCAAUUCCUUUGAGUUUUAGCCUUGCGGCCGUACUCCCCAGGCGGGGCGCUUAAUGCGUUAGCUACGGCACGGAACCCAUGGAAAGGAUCCCACACCUAGCGCCCAACGUUUACGGUGUGGACUAC
RNAcentral lists this unclassified non-coding RNA (395 nucleotides) under uncultured Nocardioidaceae bacterium. RNAcentral's name for it is "contains 16S-23S intergenic spacer region". Lineage: Bacteria; Bacillati; Actinomycetota; Actinomycetes; Propionibacteriales; Nocardioidaceae. The record is from RNAcentral.